UUCUCAAGCACCACUGGGAAACUGUGUUC
This 29-nucleotide non-coding RNA is filed under the name Homo sapiens (human). The record is from RNAcentral. Lineage: Eukaryota; Metazoa; Chordata; Mammalia; Primates; Hominidae.